Molecule: ribosomal RNA, 732 nt
Filed under: uncultured Actinomycetes bacterium
Lineage: Bacteria; Bacillati; Actinomycetota; Actinomycetes
Description: bacterial SSU rRNA
Rfam family: Bacterial small subunit ribosomal RNA
Source: RNAcentral
CAGAUAUCAGGAGGAACACCAAUGGCGAAGGCAGGACUCUGGGCCAUUACUGACACUGAGGAGCGAAAGCGUGGGGAGCGAACAGGAUUAGAUACCCUGGUAGUCCACGCCGUAAACGGUGGGCACUAGUUGUGGGGACCUUCCACGGUCUCUGCGACGCAGCUAACGCAUUAAGUGCCCCGCCUGGGGAGUACGAUCGCAAGAUUAAAACUCAAAGGAAUUGACGGGGCCCCGCACAAGCAGCGGAGCAUGCGGCUUAAUUCGACGCAACGCGAAGAACCUUACCAAGGCUUGACAUAUACAGGAAUAUGGCAGAGAUGUCAUAGCCGCAAGGUCUGUAUACAGGUGGUGCAUGGUUGUCGUCAGCUCGUGUCGUGAGAUGUUGGGUUAAGUCCCGCAACGAGCGCAACCCUCGUUCUGUGUUGCCAGCAUUUAGUUGGGGACUCACAGGAGACUGCCGGGGUUAACUCGGAGGAAGGUGGGGAUGACGUCAAAUCAUCAUGCCCCUUAUGUCUUGGGCUGCACGCAUGCUACAAUGGCUGGUACAAACGGCUGCAAUACCGCAAGGUGGAGCGAAUCCGAGAAAGCCAGUCUCAGUUCGGAUUGGGGUCUGCAACUCGACCCCAUGAAGUCGGAGUUGCUAGUAAUCGUAGAUCAGCAACGCUACGGUGAAUACGUUCCCGGGGCUUGUACACACCGCCCGUCACGUCACGAAAGUCGGUAACACCCGAA